GAUGAACGCUGGCGGCGUGCCUAAUACAUGCAAGUCGAGCGAACAGAUGAGGAGCUUGCUCCUCUGACGUUAGCGGCGGACGGGUGAGUAACACGUGGAUAACCUACCUAUAAGACUGGGUUAACUUCGGGAAACCGGAGCUAAUACCGGAUAAUAUAUUGAACCGCAUGGUUCAAUAGUGAAAGACGGUUUUGCUGUCACUUAUAGAUGGAUCCGCGCCGCAUUAGCUAGUUGGUAAGGUAACGGCUUACCAAGGCAACGAUGCGUAGCCGACCUGAGAGGGGGAUAAGCAACAAUGGAACUGAGACACGGUCAAGACUCCUAAGGGAGGCAGCAGUGGGGAAUUUUGGAAAAUGGGAGAAAGCCGGAAGAAGCAACAGCGCGGGGUGGAAGAAGGUCUUCGGAUCGUAAAACCCUGUUGUAGGGAAAGAAAAAAUGUAGAAUAAUAACUGCAUGUUUUGACGGUACCAAAAAAAAAAGCACCGGCUAACUCCGUG
RNAcentral lists this ribosomal RNA (497 nucleotides) under uncultured bacterium. RNAcentral describes it as "partial 16S ribosomal RNA". It matches the Rfam family "Bacterial small subunit ribosomal RNA", at positions 28 to 507 of the family's 1533-position model. The record is from RNAcentral.